GAAAAGUCAAUGAACUGGAAUAGUAAUAGAUUUAUUUCUUAAUAGAGACCUCAUGGGUGGUGAAAAUGAGGAAGAGAUAGCUAUGAACUCGCUAGGGAGAUGCUUCUAUGAAAGUAGAUGACGUUACUCGCGUUAAGAGAAGAUAAGAGCAUGAUAUCUUCAUGAACUAAGGUGGUACCGCGGUCAUUCGCCCUUAGG
This 198-nucleotide non-coding RNA is filed under the name Eggerthia catenaformis. Its description in RNAcentral is "T-box sequence". It matches the Rfam family "T-box leader". From Rfam's summary of the family: Uncharged tRNA acts as the effector for transcription antitermination of genes in the T-box leader family. T-boxes are found upstream of many aminoacyl-tRNA synthetase genes and some amino acid biosynthetic genes usually in Gram-positive bacteria. The record is from RNAcentral. Lineage: Bacteria; Bacillati; Bacillota; Erysipelotrichia; Erysipelotrichales; Coprobacillaceae.